Molecule: ribosomal RNA, 497 nt
Filed under: uncultured bacterium
Lineage: Bacteria
Description: partial 16S ribosomal RNA
Rfam family: Bacterial small subunit ribosomal RNA
Source: RNAcentral
GACGAACGCUGGCGGCGUGCCUAAUACAUGCAAGUUGAGCGCUGAAGGUUGGUACUUGUACCGACUGGAUGAGCAGCGAACGGGUGAGUAACGCGUGGGGAAUCUGCCUUUGAGCGGGGGACAACAUUUGGAAACGAAUGCUAAUACCGCAUAAAAACUUUAAACACAAGUUUUAAGUUUGAAAGAUGCAAUUGCAUCACUCAAAGAUGAUCCCGCGUUGUAUUAGCUAGUUGGUGAGGUAAGGGCUCACCAAGGCGAUGAUACAUAGCCGACCUGAGAGGGUGAUCGGCCACAUUGGGACUGAGACACGGCCCAAACUCCUACGGGAGGCAGCAGUAGGGAAUCUUCGGCAAUGGACGAAAGUCUGACCGAGCAACGCCGCGUGAGUGAAGAAGGUUUUCGGAUCGUAAAACUCUGUUGGUAGAGAAGAACGUUGGUGAGAGUGGAAAGCUCAUCAAGUGACGGUAACUACCCAGAAAGGGACGGCUAACUACGUG